Molecule: long non-coding RNA, 767 nt
Filed under: Nicotiana tabacum (common tobacco)
Lineage: Eukaryota; Viridiplantae; Streptophyta; Magnoliopsida; Solanales; Solanaceae
Description: long non-coding RNA (NTAB_LNC006373)
Source: RNAcentral
UAUGCUAUUUGGAUACCAGGUGAUUUUCCCCCCCUUUCGGGUCUAUUUAAAGUGGGUUUUUCAUCUGGGUAUGAAUUUUUCCUUGAAUUUCUGAGCGAUUAUUCGAAGAAGCUAGAAAUUGUUUUCAUACAACACUUAUGUUAUUUGAUUUUGACAUUGAAUCUUCAAAAUUGCUUUCUUAAUUGCCUUGGGAACAGAAUAGCAAGGAAGUAGUCGAAACCCGAAAUCAGCCUUAUCUUCUGCGUAGGUUUAACUUUGUCCUUUAAAUAUAACCCUUAGCACUAUUUGUCCUUUUAAAUUUACAAAUUUUGAUCACUUUUAGUCUCACUAACAGAAAAUCAUAACUUCAAUUAAAAAACUAACAGAAUAUUCUUUAUAAAAUGUGUAAUGCUAAAAAAGUUUCAAACUGCAAGUGUAUCAGCACUUCAGCGGCAAAAAUCAGCACUUCAGCAGCAAAAAUCAGCAUUCCAGCAGUAGAAAAGCAUUCAAAGUGCAAAGCUAUCUGCAUUUCAGCGGCCAAAAUCAGCAUUUCAGCAACAAAAUCAGCAUUUCAGCAGCAAAAUCAGUAUUUCUGUGGGAAAAAUACAGCAUUCCAGCAUUUCAAUAGCUAAAAUAUCAGCAUUUUAGCAGCAAAUCAACAUUUCAACAGCGAAAAUCAGCAGAUCAACAGCAAAAAUUCAGCAUUUCAGCGGCAAACGUACUCAUUCCAACAUUUCAACAGCAAAAUAUCACCAUUUCAGCAACAAAAUAUCAACAUUUCAGCAGCA